CAGCAGCCGCGGGAAUACAGAGGGUGCGAGCGUUAAUCGGAUUUACUGGGCGUAAAGCGUGCGUAGGCGGCUUUUUAAGUCGGAUGUGAAAUCCCUGAGCUUAACUUAGGAAUUGCAUUCGAUACUGGGAAGCUAGAGUAUGGGAGAGGAUGGUAGAAUUCCAGGUGUAGCGGUGAAAUGCGUAGAGAUCUGGAGGAAUACCGAUGGCGAAGGCAGCCGUCUGGCCUAAUACUGACGCUGAGGUACGAAAGCAUGGGGAGCAAACAGGAUUAGAUACCCGCGUAGUCCCUGUCUCUUAUAC
RNAcentral lists this ribosomal RNA (301 nucleotides) under uncultured bacterium. Its description in RNAcentral is "partial 16S ribosomal RNA". It matches the Rfam family "Bacterial small subunit ribosomal RNA", at positions 509 to 807 of the family's 1533-position model. The record is from RNAcentral.